This 396-nucleotide long non-coding RNA is filed under the name Felis catus (domestic cat). Its description in RNAcentral is "lncRNA (ENSFCAG00000049549.1)". Lineage: Eukaryota; Metazoa; Chordata; Mammalia; Carnivora; Felidae. The record is from RNAcentral.
CUUUACACGGAGCCCAAACGCAGUGACUUUUGGCCGCAGCAGCUCUGUCUCUGAAGGUGGAAUAGUCUGUGACUGCCAGGAGGGACCCGGGGGCCAGGCCUGCAGCCGGCCUCAGUAAAGGGUUUGUUUUCAAAAACAGUUUUUACCAUCCAGUUUUACCACCAGCACGGAGCAGAAAACAGCCAGUGGAAAACAGAGAGGAGUAGGAUUUUGCUGUCAGAUAAAACGAGAGAGGAAAUCUUAGAAGCUACUGUCACCAGUAGAAACAGCUGUCUUAUUGAGGUGGGAUUUCUGUAUCAACUCUAACACUGCCCAUGAAUUGCUUAUAAAAAUGAUCCCCCCCCCAAAUCCUGCAUGUGUAAGGCAGAGAAAACUGCUCUGAGAUGCAGUAAUGCU